UUUCUGGAAAAUAAAGAUGGAUUGAAUUACUUCAAAGUAAAUGACAAUGGUGUAAAUCGAACUUACAUUUCUCAAUUUACUAUUUCUCUACACGCGGAUACUUUGUAAAUUUUACAGAUUUUAUACACACUUUAAACACACCCUGAUCCUAGCACUAAGACCUUUUAUUUAUACUAAUCGAAAUAACCUCUUCUAACGGCC
RNAcentral lists this long non-coding RNA (201 nucleotides) under Lathyrus oleraceus (garden pea). Its description in RNAcentral is "Pisum sativum (pea) long non-coding RNA (PSAT_LNC007248)". Lineage: Eukaryota; Viridiplantae; Streptophyta; Magnoliopsida; Fabales; Fabaceae. The record is from RNAcentral.